UGGGGAAUCUUCCGCAAUGGGCGAAAGCCUGACGGAGCAAUGCCGCGUGGAGGUAGAAGGCCCACGGGUCGUAAACUCCUUUUCUCGGAGAAGAAGCAGUGACGGUAUCCGAAGAAUAAGCAUCGGCUAACUCUGUGCCAGCAGCCGCGGUAAGACAGGGGAUGCAAGCGUUAUCCGGAAUGAUUGGGCGUAAAGCGUCUGUAGGUGGCUCCUUAAGUCCGCUGUCAAAUCCCAGGGCUCAACCCUGGGCAGGCGGUGGAAACUACUAAGCUGGAGUACGGUAGGGGCAGGGGGAAUUUCCGGUGGAGCGGUGAAAUGCGUAGAGAUCGGAAAGAACACCAAAGGCGAAGGCACCCUGCUGGGCCGACACUGACACUGAGAGACGAAAGCUAGGGGAGCGAAUGGG
RNAcentral lists this ribosomal RNA (406 nucleotides) under Acidobacteriota bacterium. RNAcentral describes it as "Acidobacteria bacterium partial 16S ribosomal RNA". It matches the Rfam family "Bacterial small subunit ribosomal RNA", at positions 355 to 776 of the family's 1533-position model. The record is from RNAcentral. Lineage: Bacteria; Pseudomonadati; Acidobacteriota.